RNAcentral lists this ribosomal RNA (376 nucleotides) under uncultured Spirochaeta sp. RNAcentral's name for it is "bacterial SSU rRNA". It matches the Rfam family "Bacterial small subunit ribosomal RNA", at positions 1004 to 1382 of the family's 1533-position model. Lineage: Bacteria; Pseudomonadati; Spirochaetota; Spirochaetia; Spirochaetales; Spirochaetaceae. The record is from RNAcentral.
AGACCGUCCAGCCUUUCGGGGCCGGCGUACAGGUGCUGCAUGGCUGUCGUCAGCUCGUGCUGUGAAGUGUUGGGUUAAGUCCCGCAACGAGCGCAACCCCUGCCAUCUGUUGCCAGCAAGUGAAGUUGGGGACUCAGGUGGAACUGCCGGUGACAAACCGGAGAAGGUGGGGACGACGUCAAGUCAUCAUGGCCCUUAUGUCCUGGGCUACACACGUGCUACAAUGGCCGGUACAGAGCGCAGCGAAGCCGCGAGGCAAAGCGAAUCGCAAAAAGCCGGUCUCAGUACGGAUUGGAGUCUGAAACCCGACUCCAUGAAGUUGGAAUCGCUAGUAAUCGCGCAUCAGCAUGGCGCGGUGAAUACGUUCCCGGGCCUU